RNAcentral lists this ribosomal RNA (519 nucleotides) under uncultured Terriglobales bacterium. Its description in RNAcentral is "bacterial SSU rRNA". It matches the Rfam family "Bacterial small subunit ribosomal RNA", at positions 8 to 529 of the family's 1533-position model. The record is from RNAcentral. Lineage: Bacteria; Pseudomonadati; Acidobacteriota; Terriglobia; Terriglobales.
AGAGUUUGAUCCUGGCUCAGAGCGAACGCUGGCGGCGUGCUUAACACAUGCAAGUCGAGUGCGCGUCUGUAGCAAUACAGAUGGCGCACGGCGCACGGGUGCGUAACACGUGGGUAAUCUGCCCUUCGAAGGGGAAUAACUCGCCGAAAGGCGAGCUAAUUCCGCAUAACAUUCCGAGAACCUUGGUUUUCGGAUUCAAAGGCGCAAGUCGUCGGAGGAGGAGCCCGCGCACGAUUAGCUAGUUGGUAGGGUAACGGCCUACCAAGGCUAUGAUCGUUAGCUGGUCUGAGAGGAUGGCCAGCCACACUGGAACUGAGACACGGUCCAGACUCCUACGGGAGGCAGCAGUGGGGAAUCUUGCACAAUGGGCGAAAGCCUGAUGCAGCGACGCCGCGUGGGGGAUGAAGCUUCUCGGAGUGUAAACCCCUUUCGACCCGGACGAAAACCUCGCAAGAGGAUUGACGGUACGGGUAUAAGAAGCCCCGGCUAACUACGUGCCAGCAGCCGCGGUAAGACGUA